UACAUGGGGUGCAAACGUUGCUCGGAAUUAUUGGGCGUAAAGCGCGCGUAGGCGGUUACUUAAGUCGGAUGUGAAAGCCCUCGGCUUAACUGAGGAAGUGCACCCGAAACUGAGUAGCUAGAGUACGAAAGAGGGUCGCGGAAUUCCCGGUGUAGAGGUGAAAUGCGUAGAUAUCGUAAGGAAGACCAGUGGCGAAGGCGGGUCUCUGGACAGUUCCUGACGCUGAGGCACGAAGGCCAGGGGAGCAAACGGG
RNAcentral lists this ribosomal RNA (253 nucleotides) under uncultured bacterium. RNAcentral's name for it is "partial 16S ribosomal RNA". It matches the Rfam family "Bacterial small subunit ribosomal RNA", at positions 524 to 776 of the family's 1533-position model. The record is from RNAcentral.